GUGGGGAAUAUUGGACAAUGGGCGCAAGCCUGAUCCAGCCAUGCCGCGUGAGUGAUGAAGGCCCUAGGGUUGUAAAGCUCUUUCACCGGAGAAGAUAAUGACGGUAUCCGGAGAAGAAGCCCCGGCUAACUUCGUGCCAGCAGCCGCGGUAAUACGAAGGGGGCUAGCGUUGUUCGGAAUUACUGGGCGUAAAGCGCACGUAGGCGGACAUUUAAGUCAGGGGUGAAAUCCCGGGGCUCAACCCCGGAACUGCCUUUGAUACUGUGUGUCUGGAGUAUGGAAGAGGUAAGUGGAAUUCCGAGUGUAGAGGUGAAAUUCGUAGAUAUUCGGAGGAACACCAGUGGCGAAGGCGGCUUACUGGUCCAUUACUGACGCUGAGGUGCGAAAGCGUGGGGAGCAAACAGGAUUAGAAACCCUUGUAGUCC
RNAcentral lists this ribosomal RNA (425 nucleotides) under uncultured bacterium. Its description in RNAcentral is "partial 16S ribosomal RNA". It matches the Rfam family "Bacterial small subunit ribosomal RNA", at positions 354 to 796 of the family's 1533-position model. The record is from RNAcentral.